CGUGAAGUCUUCGGACGAGUAAAGUGGCGGACGGGCGAGUAACACGUAAUCAAGCUGCCCCUGAGACGGGGAUAACCUCGGGAAACCGAGGCUAAUACCGGAUGGUCUUCUGGCACCGCCUGGUGCCGGUAGUAAAUGGUGGGGUCUUUCGGGACCUGCUGCUCAGGGAGGUGAUUGCGUCCCAUCAGCUAGUUGGCGGGGUAACGGCCCACCAAGGCGAUGACGGGUAGCCGGCCUGAGAGGGUGGUCGGCCGCACUGGGACUGAGACACUGCCCAGACUCCUACGGGAGGCUGCAGUCGAGAAUCUUCCGCAAUGGGCGCAAGCCUGACGGAGCGACGCCGCGUGGAGGACGAAGGCCCUCGGGUUGUAAACUCCUGUCACGGGUUAUGAAGUUCGCAGUGUGAACAGCGCUGCGAUUGACGUAAGCCCGAGAGGAAGCACUGGCUAACUCUGUGCCAGCAGCCGCGGUAAUACAGAGAGUGCAAACGUUGUUCGGAAUUACUGGGCUUAAAGCGCACGUAGGCGGCACUGUAAGUGUGGGGUGAAAGCCCACGGCUCACCCGUGGAAUUGCCUCGCAUACUGCAGUGCUAGAGUGUGGUAGGGGAGAGCGGAACUCCUGGUGGAGCGGUGAAAUGCGUAGAUAUCAGGAGGAACACCGGUGGCGAAGGCGGCUCUCUGGUCCACAACUGACGCUGAGGUGCGAAAGCUAGGGUAGCGAACGGGAUUAGAUACCCCGGUAGUCCUAGCCGUAAACGAUGGGCACUAGCUUGGGGUCUCCCUGUGUGAUCCCAGGUGAAG
This 801-nucleotide ribosomal RNA is filed under the name uncultured bacterium. RNAcentral's name for it is "bacterial SSU rRNA". It matches the Rfam family "Bacterial small subunit ribosomal RNA", at positions 67 to 851 of the family's 1533-position model. The record is from RNAcentral.